Molecule: long non-coding RNA, 382 nt
Organism: Cygnus atratus (black swan)
Lineage: Eukaryota; Metazoa; Chordata; Aves; Anseriformes; Anatidae
Exons: 4
Source: RefSeq, a predicted model, not a curated record
AAAAAAAAAAAAAAAAAAAACUCUUCCAAAAAAGCACCGGUCUGCAGAUGUCUGCAAGAGAAUCAACAAACCCUCCUUCUUCUACGGCAGGGCAGACACAAGAGAUUUGGACUGGACUUUUGUAAAAUAAGUUUCAGGAAGGAUCUUCUGGUUAAAAAUGAACAAACCUUAGAACACCCAACUGGCCAGUGGAUGUGUAUAAAGUAAGAGAGCACAAAGACUUCUGGAAAAGCACACCCCACUAACCCAGCUGCACUGAAGACUAGGCUGGCAGCAGGUCCAUCCAUGCAGCGGCCACUGACUAUCAAAGCCAAUUGUUACCGAAGUGACAACGAAGAGAUCAGUCCUGCAUCUGCUGAAGCCAAUAGGAGGAAACAGAAAA